RNAcentral lists this ribosomal RNA (427 nucleotides) under uncultured bacterium. RNAcentral describes it as "bacterial SSU rRNA". It matches the Rfam family "Bacterial small subunit ribosomal RNA", at positions 355 to 774 of the family's 1533-position model. The record is from RNAcentral.
UGGGGAAUUUUUCGCAAUGGGCGCAAGCCUGACGAAGCAACGCCGCGUGGAGGAUGAAGGUCUUCGGAUUGUAAACUCCUGUCGACCGGGACGAAUGCACUCGACCUAAUACGUCGGAAUGUUGACGGUACCGGUGGAGGAAGCCACGGCUAACUCUGUGCCAGCAGCCGCGGUAAUACAGAGGUGGCAAGCGUUGUUCGGAAUUACUGGGCGUAAAGGGCGCGUAGGCGGCCUUAUAAGUCUCGUGUGAAAGCCCUCGGCUUAACUGAGGAUCUGCACGGGAUACUGUAAGGCUUGAGUUCGGGAGAGGAAAGCGGAAUUCCGGGUGUAGCGGUGAAAUGCGUAGAUAUCCGGAGGAACACCAGUGGCGAAGGCGGCUUUCUGGACCGACACUGACGCUGAGGCGCGAAAGCUAGGGGAGCAAACG